GAUCCUGGCUCAGGAUGAACGCUAGCUACAGGCUUAACACAUGCAAGUCGAGGGGCAUCAGAUCGAAAGCUUGCUUUGAUGCUGGCGACCGGCGCACGGGUGAGUAACGCGUAUCCAACCUUCCCUAUAGUAGAGAAUAGCCCGGCGAAAGUCGGAUUAAUGCUCUAUGUUGUAUUUAGAGGACAUCUGAAGAAUACCAAAGGUUUACCGCUAUAGGAUGGGGAUGCGUCUGAUUAGGUAGUAGGCGGGGUAACGGCCCACCUAGCCGACGAUCAGUAGGGGUUCUGAGAGGAAGGUCCCCCACAUUGGAACUGAGACACGGUCCAAACUCCUACGGGAGGCAGCAGUGAGGAAUAUUGGUCAAUGGACGGAAGUCUGAACCAGCCAAGUAAGCGUGCAGGAUGACGGCCCUAUGGGUUGUAAACUGCUUUUAUAUAGGGAUAAAGUCGGGGACGUGUCCCCGUUUGUAGGUACUAUAUGAAUAAGGACCGGCUAAUUCCGUGCCAGCAGCCGC
This 514-nucleotide ribosomal RNA is filed under the name uncultured bacterium. RNAcentral describes it as "bacterial SSU rRNA". It matches the Rfam family "Bacterial small subunit ribosomal RNA", at positions 15 to 518 of the family's 1533-position model. The record is from RNAcentral.